UACGUAGGGGGCAAGCGUUGUCCGGAUUUAUUGGGCGUAAAGAGCUCGUAGGUGGUUCGGUAAGUCGGAUGUGAAAUCUCCAGGCUCAACCUGGAGGGGUCAUUCGAUACUGCCGUGACUAGAGUUCGGUAGGGGAGUGUGGAAUUCCUGGUGGAGCGGUGAAAUGUGCAGAUAUCAGGAGGAACACCCGUAGCGAAGGCGGCACUCUGGGCCGAUACUGACGCUGAGGAGCGAAAGCGUGGGGAGCGAACAGG
This 254-nucleotide ribosomal RNA is filed under the name uncultured bacterium. RNAcentral's name for it is "partial 16S ribosomal RNA". It matches the Rfam family "Bacterial small subunit ribosomal RNA", at positions 524 to 776 of the family's 1533-position model. The record is from RNAcentral.